Molecule: ribosomal RNA, 330 nt
Filed under: uncultured bacterium
Lineage: Bacteria
Description: bacterial SSU rRNA
Rfam family: Bacterial small subunit ribosomal RNA
Source: RNAcentral
CGCGUAGGUGGUAGUGCAAGUCUGAGGUGGAAUCCCAGGGCUUAACCCUGGAACUGCCUUGGAAACUGUAUUACUUGAGUCAGUGAGGGGAGGGUAGAAUUCCUGGUGUAGCGGUGAAAUGCGUAGAUAUCAGGAGGAAGGCCUGUGGCGAAGGCGGCCCUCUGGCGCUGAACUGACACUGAGGCGCGAAAGCGUGGGGAGCAAACAGGAUUAGAUACCCUGGUAGUCCACGCCCUAAACGGUGGGUACUAGGUGUAGGGCUCGUAAGGGUUCUGUGCCGAAGCGAAAGCAUUAAGUACCCCGCCUGGGGAGUACGGCCGCAAGGUUGAA